Molecule: ribosomal RNA, 253 nt
Filed under: uncultured bacterium
Lineage: Bacteria
Description: partial 16S ribosomal RNA
Rfam family: Bacterial small subunit ribosomal RNA
Source: RNAcentral
UACGAAGGGGGCGAGCGUUGUUCGGAAUUACUGGGCGUAAAGGGCGCGUAGGCGGCGACCCAAGUCAGAUGUGAAAGUCCUGGGCUUAACCUGGGGACUGCAUUUGAUACUGGGUUGCUUGAAUUCGGGAGAGGAUAGCGGAAUUCCCAGUGUAGAGGUGAAAUUCGUAGAUAUUCGUAAGAACACCAGUGGCGAAGGCGGGUCUCUGGGCCGAUACUGACGCUGAGGAGCGAAAGCGUGGGGAGCGAACAGG